CAAGAAUUAUGUUCCAUAACUAGCUCAAACAUAAAUAACCAGAACUGCAUGAUGCUAUACUAGUCUCGAGAUAUAGAUGCAAAACACAAAUAUGGAUGGAAUAAUGCCAAAGUGACAAAGCAAAAGGACCAUCAACAUGGAAAAAUAUGUACUGCGAAACAAAAAUUUACUUUGCUAUAACAACUACUAUAUGGAUGGAAUCCCAAAUACUUGACCAGCUUCCCCCCAACGGAAUUAUAUAAGCCAAGCUCAAUUCUCAUUCAGAUAGAAAAUAAUAACAUCAGUUUCCCAAUUAUAAAGAAAAUGAAAAUAGAAGAAUUAUUACCUGAACUUUAUAAUUAGAUAUUUCUCCUAGAACCUUCUCUGCUUCUGACAAGGAAGACAGCGGGAACAUCCAUAACCUGCAGACUCAAAAAUUUUC
RNAcentral lists this long non-coding RNA (421 nucleotides) under Arachis ipaensis. RNAcentral's name for it is "long non-coding RNA (AIPA_LNC000193)". Lineage: Eukaryota; Viridiplantae; Streptophyta; Magnoliopsida; Fabales; Fabaceae. The record is from RNAcentral.